UCCAGACUCCUACGGGAGGCAGCAGUGGGGGAUAUUGCACAAUGGGCGCAAGCCUGAUGCAGCGACGCCGCGUGAGCGAAGAAGUAUUUCGGUAUGUAAAGCUCUAUCAGCAGGGAAGAAAAUGACGGUACCUGACUAAGAAGCUCCGGCUAAAUACGUGCCAGCAGCCGCGGUAAUACGUAGGUGGCAAGCGUUGUCCGGAUUUACUGGGUGUAAAGGGCGUGCAGCCGGGAAGACAAGUCAGAUGUGAAAUCCCGCGGCUCAACCGCGGAACUGCAUUUGAAACUGUUUUUCUUGAGUACCGGAGAGGUCAUCGGAAUUCCUUGUGUAGCGGUGAAAUGCGUAGAUAUAAGGAAGAACACCAGUGGCGAAGGCGGAUGACUGGACGGCAACUGACGGUGAGGCGCGAAAGCGUGGGGAGCAAACAGGAUUAGAUACCCGGGUA
This 445-nucleotide ribosomal RNA is filed under the name uncultured bacterium. RNAcentral describes it as "bacterial SSU rRNA". It matches the Rfam family "Bacterial small subunit ribosomal RNA", at positions 330 to 792 of the family's 1533-position model. The record is from RNAcentral.